GGAGGGAUGGCAGAGCGGCCGAAUGCACCGGUCUGAAAAACCGGAGGGCAUGCCUAGACAGCAGCUCCGGGGGUUCGAAUCCCCCUCCCUCCG
This 93-nucleotide transfer RNA is filed under the name Acidimicrobiia bacterium. Its description in RNAcentral is "tRNA-Phe". It matches the Rfam family "tRNA". From Rfam's summary of the family: Transfer RNA (tRNA) molecules are approximately 80 nucleotides in length. Their secondary structure includes four short double-helical elements and three loops (D, anti-codon, and T loops). Lineage: Bacteria; Bacillati; Actinomycetota; Acidimicrobiia. The record is from RNAcentral.